GAUGAACGCUAGCGGGAGGCUUAAUACAUGCAAGUCGAACGGUAAGGUCUUGCUUGCAAGAUACACGAGUGGCGCACGGGUGAGUAACGCGUACACGACCUACCUUUAAGAGGGGGAUAGCCCUGGGAAACUGGGAGUAAUACCCCAUAAUAUUACUUUAGUAAGUAUAGUAAUUAAAGCUACGGCGCUUAAAGAUGGGUGUGCGUUCUAUUAGCUAGUUGGUAAGGUAACGGCUUACCAAGGCGACGAUAGAUAGGGGGCGUGAGAGCGUGAACCCCCACACGGGUACUGAGACACGGACCCG
This 304-nucleotide ribosomal RNA is filed under the name uncultured bacterium. Its description in RNAcentral is "bacterial SSU rRNA". It matches the Rfam family "Bacterial small subunit ribosomal RNA", at positions 28 to 334 of the family's 1533-position model. The record is from RNAcentral.